This 253-nucleotide ribosomal RNA is filed under the name uncultured bacterium. Its description in RNAcentral is "partial 16S ribosomal RNA". It matches the Rfam family "Bacterial small subunit ribosomal RNA", at positions 524 to 776 of the family's 1533-position model. The record is from RNAcentral.
UACGGAGGAUGUAAGCGUUAUCCGGAAUGAUUGGGCGUAAAGCGUCCGCAGGUGGUUGUGUUUGUCUAUUGUCAAAGCAUCAUGCUUAACAUGAUAAAGGCAGUAGAAACUACACGACUAGAGUGCGUUCGGGGCAGAGGGAAUUCCUGGUGUAGCGGUGAAAUGCGUAGAGAUCAGGAAGAACACCGGUGGCGAAAGCGCUCUGCUAGGCCGCAACUGACACUGAGGGACGAAAGCUAGGGGAGCGAAUGUG